AAAAACGAAAAAAAAAUGAAAAAAAAAGGAAAAAAAAGAAAAAAAAAAGAAAAAAAAUUAAUUAAUUAAUUAAAUAAAUAAAAUAUAAUAGAAAAAUCUUAGACUUGGACCUCUCUCAUUUGAGCCCAUAAAGCCAUGAAAAUCAGGUUAUAAAAGAGGGAGAACAGACAAAAAAAGAAAGAGAAGCAAAACACUCUGAGGUUUCCUUGGAACAAAACCCUGGACAAAACCUGGAGAGAAACCUAGACAGAGAGAGUGAGAAUUAAUCUGCAGCAACCUCCAGGAAAC
This 288-nucleotide long non-coding RNA is filed under the name Lathyrus oleraceus (garden pea). RNAcentral describes it as "Pisum sativum (pea) long non-coding RNA (PSAT_LNC035380)". The record is from RNAcentral. Lineage: Eukaryota; Viridiplantae; Streptophyta; Magnoliopsida; Fabales; Fabaceae.